Molecule: small nucleolar RNA, 137 nt
Organism: Colossoma macropomum (tambaqui)
Lineage: Eukaryota; Metazoa; Chordata; Actinopteri; Characiformes; Serrasalmidae
Source: RefSeq, a predicted model, not a curated record
UUAGCCCUGAAUCAAGGCCAGCAACUUGCUGUAGCUGUUGGUUUCAAACAGUGGCUGAAAUCAAAGUCUUCACAUGGUCUGUUGACUUUCCCAAACUAACCAAAUGGGAAAAAUCAAUUCAGUUUGAAGAGACAUUC